CACCGUUUAUGUCUUUGUUAGCUAAAGACUCCAAGAGAGACUUUGCAGCUUCUUCUUCAUGUCCGAUCUCGGCUAUUGUCUGAUUCUCCUCAUGUCCAAUCCGAUCUGUAGUGUUGUUCUGUCUAAUAUCCCCCCCUCAAACUCUGUGUGGGUGGAACAUCAACACCGAGUUUGUAUCGGAGAGAACAGAAGGGUCCUGCUGGUAAGGACUUCGUGAAGAUGUCAGCAACCUGUUGGUGACUUGGUAUGUGCUUCACAAUCAAGGCCCCGAGAGCUACUCUUUCGCGGACAUAGUGAUAAUGAAGCUGAAAGUGCUUACUUCGCUUGUGAAAGGCGGGAUUUGCAGCAAGAUAGACGGCGGACAAAUUGUCACAGUAGAUCUCUGGAGUUUCAAGAAGUGGUAUUCCUAAUUCCUUGAGAACAGAGCCCAACAAGGUUAUAUCCGAGGCGGUGUCAGAUAAGGUUUGAUACUCAGCCUCUGUAGAUCUCUUCAACAUCGACUGUUGUUUUUGAGAGGACCAAGAGAUGAUAUUACUGCCCAGGAAGGUACAAUAGCCUCCAGUAGAUCUGCGUGUUCCUUGACAACCUCCGUAAUCACUGUCGUAGUUAAAGUCAGAGACUGUUGGCGCAUGCAUUUUCUGACACACAUAGUGGACAGAAAACUAAAUAUCUGGUCUUGUCAAGGGACCAUAUGCAACUGUAAAGGCAUAGGAGUCGGCAUUGGAGCACAAUCACUCAUUGCAGCUACAGCAAGGAGAUCUUCUGCGUAUUUUUGUUGUGAGAGGAAUAGUCCAUCAAAGUGAAACUGUACUUGUAUACCCAAAAAAAUUGUUUCCAAUGAUGAGCAUGUCAUCCACAUAGAGAAGUAGCAGAAUGAUAUUCUUGUUCUUGAUGUACACAAACAAAGAAGGAUCAGGUUUGCUGCACCAAAACCAAACUGAAUAAGGCUGCAUCAUAUACACCGUUUCAGUAAGAUCUCCAUGGAGAAAGGUGUUCUUGACGUCCAUUUGUUUGAUGUCCCAGUCCAUGAUAGUGGCAAGAUGAAGAACUGAUCUCACAGUUGGAGUUCUCACCACUGGAUUGUAUGUUUCCAGGUACCAAUGUCCAGGUGUGAGCUUUAGUGCAAUUCUCCAUCUAUUCUCCCAUUGCACCAGUCCAUCCUGGAUCUUUUAAUGCUGUAGUGACUGUUUUGGGUUCAGGGAUGUGUUGGUUGUGAAGACUGAGAAGGCUGACUCUGAUCUGUAGUGGAUUGUAGUUGCACUGUAGGAGGCUGAAAAACUGACUCUGAUGGGGCUCUAGAAGUAUUUGUUCUUUGAGAAGCAGAAGUAGAGUUGUUGCCUAUAGGAAUAGGGUCAAAGCCUGUCGUACACCUAGUACUCUCUUCUGUUCUCAUUGAACUCAUACCAGGAGACAACUGAAGAACUACUGCUUUAAGUUGUGCAGCAGUGGUUAUAGAUAAAGAUAGGCAACAGUUGCAAAGGGAAAUGUCGACUCAUCAAAGAUAACAUGACGGCUGAUAUACACUCUCCCUGUUAUUGGAACUAGACCAUUCUGUUGAGGUGUGUAGGGGCAUGACAUAAGUUGUUGUAUGCCAUGUUUCUGUAGGAAAUAUUGAAGCAAAAUCUGAUUUCAUCUUGAGAGGAUAUAACCAACUGAAGCGAGAGUAAUUGUCAAUGAGAACGACAUAAUAACGAAAUCCUUGAACUGACAUUAUUGGUGAAGGACCCCAAAGAUCACAAUGGAUUCUUUCUAAAGGUCUAGCAGCUACAAAGGAAGAAGCAGAAAAAGACAGUUGUUGAAGAAUCUGAGCAUGUGGAUGUCCAAGUCUUCUAUGCCAGACAGCAUCACUUGCAGCUUGUUGUCUUGAGAAGUAGUAGACUUGUAAAGUAAUGCGAACAGUAUCACAGUCAAAUUCAACACAGCAGGGAUAGUUUGAUGUGAGCUUAGAAACAGAAAUCAAGGAUUUUGCAAUGUCAGGGCAAACAAGAACAUUAGUUAAAGGAAGAGUACCUGAGGUUUAUGGUAGACUGGUGGAACCAGUAUGUGUGAUUGGAAGAAACUCCCCAUUGCCUACCAUUACUGCAUCAGAUCCUGAGUAUGGCUGUGACUGCUGAAGUCUGUUGGCUGAGUUUGUCACAUGAGCUGUUGCUGCAGAGUCUGUGAACCAGUCAUGACUAGGAGAUUCAGUAACCUCUGUAAUCCUCAGAGCAGCUAGAGCGCUUGGAAGUUCUUCAUAUUGAUAGCUGUUGUUGAACCGAUGCCAGCAUUUUAGAGUAGGAUGGCCUGGUUUACCACAUAUCUGGCAUGUAAUCUUGUCACCAAUGUAAGAGCCUGAAGCAUAGAGCCUUGAGAGAUUUGUUGGUGAAAUCUGCGUCCUUUUGUAGAGUAAGAACCACUGCCUCGACCUCUGUUGUUACCAGACCUACCAUUGCCACAACCUCUACUGCUAUAGUAGUGUGACCCAUUUGAGGUGGUGAUAUUGAAAGCCAAGGGUGGAGAAACUUCACUACCCACAUUGUAACUAGCAAGCCUAUCAGCAAAUCCAGUCAAUCUAGGUAUGAUAGACUCAAAGGUAGGUGGAGGCUGUAAAUCCAUAGAUCCUUCUAUAGAGGUUUUUAUUGGUUCAUAAUCCCUACCUAGACCAUGUAGAGCAGCAAAAAUCUUCAUUUUCUCACUAACUGGACUACCAAUAGAAUUCAAAGAGACGUGAAGAGGAUACCUUGUUGAAAUACUGAGCCAAGGCAGUCCAAACUUCUUGAGCAGUAGUGGUAUGAACAAUUUCUCGAAGGAUAUCUUCAGAUAAUGACCCGAGCAACCAAGCUCUCACCACCUGAUCUGACCGCAUCCACUGUUGAUAAGCAAGAUUCUGAGCUACUUUAGUAAGACCAUCGAUAUGUGUGAGAGUGUUGAUAGCUACAGGAGGUUGAAUGGCUCCAUUGACAAACCCUAGAAGGUUUUGUCCAGAAAGAAAUUAAAGGACUCAAAUUGUGUCUUCCAAAGAAGGUAAUUUCUCUCAGUAAGUGGAACAGUAACACAAUUGGAAAUGUGAAUGACAUGAUGUGAAUAGAGCUGGAAAUUGAGGAAUCCAUGGCUCUGAUACCAUGAAAGUAGGAGUGCUCAAAGGCUAAAUGUGAAGAAGAUAAGUUUCAUUUCCUUUUAUUUCUCCUUAAGGUUUUAAGGUUACAUCAUGUUUUCCUUAUAUAGAAGGACACUAUGUCAGAGACACUAGGGUUUACACUGACAUGUGUCAGGUCUCAAUUGAUCCAAGACAGUCAAACCGGUUUCUUAAAACCACUGGAUGUUUACCACCACAGCUCUCUGUUUUAUUUGCUUGAUCUGAUCUUUUGGCUUUGUCUUCUUUUGCAGGUGGAGAUGACCGUUGGAGGUGUGAGUUGUCUUGGGCUGAUUCCUUAUUCGGCUUCACUUGUGUCUGGCCCAUUUGCAUAAUGUCGUCUGCUCAUGUUGGGCCAACGACACCGUUUCUGUCUCUGUUAGCUGAAGACUCCAAGAGAGACUUUGCAGCUUCUUCUUCAUGUCCGAUCUCGGCUAUUGUCUGAUUCUCCUCAUGUCCAAUCCGAUAUGUAGUGUUGUUCUGUCUAAUAUAGUGGAAGGCACUUGUAUCUCUUUGGAAACAAGAUAGACCUAAAUUGCGUGUCUAGAGGAGGAGCACACUAAUGAUGUUCUCGCAGAGUGUUACGGUCUCUAUCCCAAACAUGAUGCUUCACCAUGCAUAGGAUGGACUUGUAUGAUGAAACUCUCCACUCUAAAGAGACAUUAUGGUUCUUGAAAAAAUCUCCAUGUCUAUUUUGCUAGUAGUAGAGUUAAUUCUUUGGCAAUGUUGUGAGAAUUUCUAGAAUUCUGAAUGCUUAAUGCUUGCUUGUAUUGAAAACUUGAUCUAUCAAAAUAUAAAGUUUAUAAUGUGGAAAGUUAUUUAUUGGUA
Arabidopsis lyrata subsp. lyrata is the source of this 3940-nucleotide long non-coding RNA. RefSeq lists it as uncharacterized. Lineage: Eukaryota; Viridiplantae; Streptophyta; Magnoliopsida; Brassicales; Brassicaceae. The transcript has 13 exons. The record is from RefSeq and is a predicted model, not a curated record.